RNAcentral lists this long non-coding RNA (1007 nucleotides) under Carassius auratus (goldfish). RNAcentral describes it as "lncRNA (ENSCARG00000004538.1)". Lineage: Eukaryota; Metazoa; Chordata; Actinopteri; Cypriniformes; Cyprinidae. The record is from RNAcentral.
AUGUCUUUCUUUCUUCUUAGCUUUGGUCGCAAAUUAACUGCAUCAACUUGUUUUCCAUUUUUACCACAAUCUGUGCUGUCCUUAGAUUUUUCAUGUGUUUUCUUUCUUCUUAGCUUUGGUCGCAAAAUAUUCACAUCAACUUGUUCCCCAUUUUUACUACACUCCUCCGUGUUGUCUUUAGUUUUUGAUAGAGUUGGCAGCGAAGUAAUCGCGUCGUCUACUCCCUUCACAUCACCCUCCUCCGUGUUUUCCUCAGUUUUUAUUACUGUUGGGCGCCAAAUAAUCGCGUCAUCUUGUCCUACCUUCUUAUCACACAUCUCCGUUUUGUCCGCAGUUUUUGUUAGCGUUGGGCGAAAAAUAAUCGCGUCGUCUUCUCCCUUCACAUCACCUUCCUCCGUGUUGUCUUCACUUUUUAUUAGUGUUGGGCGCAAAAUAAUCGCGUCGUCUUGUCCUACCUUCUUAUCACACGUCUCCGUGUUUUCCUCAGUUUUUAUUACUGUUGGGCGCCAAAUAAUCGCGUCGUCUUGUCCUACCUUCUUAUCACACUUCUCCGUGUUGUCUUCGGUUUUUGUUAGCGUUGGUCGCAUAUUAAUCGCGUCGUCUUCUCCCUUCACAUCACACUCCUCCAUGUUUUCCUCAGUUUUUGUUAGCGUUGGUCGCAAAGUAAUCACGUCGUCCUCUCCCUUCACCUCACACUCCUCAGUGUUGUCCACAGUUUUUGUUAGCGUUGGUCGCCAAAUAAUCGCGUCGUCUUCUCCCUUCACAUCACACUCCUUCGUGUUUUCCUCAGUUUUUGGUAGCGUUGGGCAAAAAACAGUCACCUCAUCUGAUUGCUCCUUGAUACCACAUUCUCCUUUGUUGUCCUUUACCGUUUCAUCCAUUUUAUAUUUUGUUAAGGCUAGUGAAAACGAAAUUAAACUGCUGACUGCAACCAUACACUGUAGAACUAGAGGGCUGCAACAAAUAAAUAUCGUGCAGAAAAGCGGACUCAGUCCACGCAGUCCACG